This 478-nucleotide ribosomal RNA is filed under the name uncultured bacterium. Its description in RNAcentral is "partial 16S ribosomal RNA". It matches the Rfam family "Bacterial small subunit ribosomal RNA", at positions 28 to 523 of the family's 1533-position model. The record is from RNAcentral.
GACGAACGCUGGCGGCGUGCUUAACACAUGCAAGUCGAACGGUAAGGCCCUUCGGGGUACACGAGUGGCGAACGGGUGAGUAACACGUGGGUGAUCUGCCCUGCACUUCGGGAUAAGCCUGGGAAACUGGGGCUAAUACCGGAUAGGACCCUGGGAUGCAUGGCCUGGGGUGGAAAGCUUUUGCGGUGUGGGAUGGGCCCGCGGCCUAUCAGCUUGUUGGUGGGGUGAUGGCCUACCAAGGCGACGACGGGUAGCCGGCCUGAGAGGGUGACCGGCCACACUGGGACUGAGAUACGGCCCAGACUCCUACGGGAGGCAGCAGUGGGGAAUAUUGCACAAUGGGCGCAAGCCUGAUGCAGCGACGCCGCGUGAGGGAUGACGGCCUUCGGGUCGUAAACCUCUUUCAGCACCGACGAAGCGCAAGUGACGGUAGGUGCAGAAGAAGGACCGGCCAACUACGUGCCAGCCGCCGCCGUAA